RNAcentral lists this ribosomal RNA (570 nucleotides) under uncultured Ascomycota. RNAcentral describes it as "eukaryotic LSU rRNA". The stretch from base 203 to 356 matches the Rfam family "5.8S ribosomal RNA". Lineage: Eukaryota; Fungi; Ascomycota. The record is from RNAcentral.
CUUGGUCAUUUAGAGGAAGUAAAAGUCGUAACAAAGUCUCCGUUGGUGAACCAGCGGAGGGAUCAUUACAGAGUUGCAAAACUCCCAACCCUUUGUGAACGAACCUACCAGUUGCCUCGGCGGCGAGCCUUUCAGGCGGACCGCCGAAGGAAUACAAACUCUUUGCAUUAUAGUAUCUCUGAUUACUUAUUCAAUAAAUUAAAACUUUCAACAACGGAUCUCUUGGUUCUGGCAUCGAUGAAGAACGCAGCGAAAUGCGAUAAGUAAUGUGAAUUGCAGAAUUCAGUGAAUCAUCGAAUCUUUGAACGCACAUUGCGCCCGCUAGUAUUCUGGCGGGCAUGCCUGUUCGAGCGUCAUUUCAACCAUCAAGCCCUAGGCUUGUGUUGGAGCCCUGCGGCUGCCGCAGCCUCCUAAAAACAGUGGCGGGCUCGCUAUUACACCGAGUGCAGUAGUUUACUCUUCGCUCAGGGCGUGUGGCGGGUGCUGGCCGUGAAACCCCCUACUUCUUAAGGUUGACCUCGGAUCAGGUAGGAAUACCCGCUGAACUUAAGCAUAUCAAUAAGCGGAGGA